UGAACGCUAGCGGCAGGCUUAACACAUGCAAGUCGAGGGGUAGAGGAAGCUUGCUUCCUUGAGACCGGCGCACGGGUGCGUAACGCGUAUACAAUCUACCUUUUACAGAGGGAUAGCCCAGAGAAAUUUGGAUUAAUACCUCAUAGUAUUUUCGGAUCGCAUGAUUUGAUUAUUAAAGUUCCAACGGUAAAAGAUGAGUAUGCGUCCCAUUAGCUAGAUGGUGAGGUAAAGGCUCACCAAGGCGACGAUCCGUAGCUGGUCUGAGAGGACGACCAGCCACACUGGAACUGAGACACGGUCCAGAUUCCUACGGGAGGCAGCAGUGGGGAAUUUUGGACAAUGGGGGCAGCCCUGAUCCAGCCAUUCCGCGUGAGUGAAGAAGG
RNAcentral lists this ribosomal RNA (383 nucleotides) under uncultured bacterium. RNAcentral describes it as "bacterial SSU rRNA". It matches the Rfam family "Bacterial small subunit ribosomal RNA", at positions 30 to 414 of the family's 1533-position model. The record is from RNAcentral.